AAUUUGCAGAGGGCGCUUUGGUGUCGGCUUNNGUCCAAGUUCCUUGGAACAGGACGCANCAGAGGGUGAGAAUCCCGUACGUGGUCGCUGACCUACACCGUGUAAAGCCCCUUCGACGAGUCGAGUUGUUUGGGAAUGCAGCUCUAAAUGGGAGGUAAAUUUCUUCUAAAGCUAAAUACUGGCCAGAGACCGAUAGCGCACAAGUAGAGUGAUCGAAAGAUGAAAAGCACUUUGGAAAGAGAGUCAAACAGCACGUGAAAUUGUUGAAAGGGAAGCGCUUGCAGCCAGACUUGCUUGUAGUUGCUCAUCCGGGCUUUUGCCCGGUGCACUCUUCUGCGAGCAGGCCAGCAUCAGUUUGGACGGUUGGAUAAAGGCCUCUGUCACGUACCUUCUCUCGGGAAGGCCUUAUAGGGGAGGCGUCAUGCAACCAGUCUGGACUGAGGUCCGCGCAUCUGCUAGGAUGCUGGCGUAAUGGCUGUAAGCGGCCCGUCUUGAAACACGGACCA
RNAcentral lists this ribosomal RNA (506 nucleotides) under soil fungal sp. DM247. Its description in RNAcentral is "eukaryotic LSU rRNA". It matches the Rfam family "Eukaryotic large subunit ribosomal RNA", at positions 147 to 668 of the family's 3401-position model. Lineage: Eukaryota; Fungi. The record is from RNAcentral.